This 315-nucleotide ribosomal RNA is filed under the name uncultured bacterium. RNAcentral describes it as "bacterial SSU rRNA". It matches the Rfam family "Bacterial small subunit ribosomal RNA", at positions 29 to 351 of the family's 1533-position model. The record is from RNAcentral.
AAUGAACGCUGGCGGCGUGCUUAACACAUGCAAGUCGAACGAGAAAACCCCUUCGGGGUGAGUAGAGUGGCGAACGGGUGAGUAACGCGUAAGAAUUUACCAUUCAGUGAAGAAUACCUUCGAGAAAUCGAAGUUAAUACUGCAUACGUCCCUUCGGGAGAAAGGUGGCCUCUUGCUACCGCUGAUUGAUGAGCUUGCGUACUAUUAGCUAGUUGGUGAGGUAAAGGCUCACCAAGGCUGUGAUGGUUAGCCGACCUGAGAGGGUGAUCGGCCACAUUGGGACUGAGAUACGGCCCAAACUCCUACGGGAGGCAG